CAACUUUUGAAUCCACCGAAGUAUAUAUAUUCAUGUAUAAGGAUAUUACUCCUAUAUUAGUUAAUUACACUUUAGUUAGUAAUUAGGAUAUCAACCCCACCUUUAUAUUCUUCCACCGUUUACACAGAGAGAGAGAGAGAGAGAGCAAAGGAGAAGGCGGCGGCCAUUUUUCUCCUUUAAGGUCUGGUCCAGCCAUGGCCAUCAUUGUUCAACACCAAUUUCUUUUCGGAAGUCAAGGAAACUUAACCGGUAUCAAUUCAAUGAAGUAGUUUGCACGCGUGAUGAGCUAGACGCUACUUUUUGGUUAAGGUAGAUAGCAAGUUGUGGACCGAUUGAAGUGUUAGAAUAACCGUGGAGAAUCAAGCGGUGUCUAAUGAACCUGCAACAAAUGGUAGUGCUUCUGAACAAGCUGUGAAGAAGAGGGUGACAUUAAUGCAAGACAGACGUUCCUCGGGAAGUUUUUUGUGCCCGAAUAAUAAUACCAAAUGUGAUGGCGCGCCUAAGAAGAUAAUGGGAAGCAAAGCUAAAAGGACAUUGCCGUGGAUUUUCUUUCGUCUCAGCUGCAAGCAAGCAUCCUUGCCGAUUAGUAGUACUUAAUUGAUUAUUAAAAGUACCCCUAAAUUAACCUAGCUCCCUAGUAGUCCGCUUUGCCUCACUUGAUGUACUGCAUGCCCAAGAUCAUAUGUAAGUACUCAAUGCCAUUUGCACUCAUGAGGCAAUGCGUAUCCCUUAAUUGGUAAAUAAAUGAACUGAAAGUCUUAUGUUCUGCCCCAAAGCUGUUGAGCUUUGGAAUGCAAUCACUUUA
Long non-coding RNA from Rhododendron vialii, 805 nucleotides. RefSeq lists it as uncharacterized. Lineage: Eukaryota; Viridiplantae; Streptophyta; Magnoliopsida; Ericales; Ericaceae. The record is from RefSeq and is a predicted model, not a curated record. The transcript has 4 exons.